AAGUCGUAGACUGACAUAUGAGUUCACGUGGGGUACCUGCCUGUAAGACUGGGAUAACUCCGGGAAACCGGGGCUAAUACCGGAUAACUCAUUUCCUCGCAUGAGGAAAUGUUGAAAGAUGGCUUCGGCUAUCACUUACAGAUGGACCCGCGGCGCAUUAGCUAGUUGGUGAGGUAACGGCUCACCAAGGCAACGAUGCGUAGCCGACCUGAGAGGGUGAUCGGCCACACUGGGACUGAGACACGGCCCAGACUCCUACGGGAGGCAGCAGUAGGGAAUCUUCCGCAAUGGACGAAAGUCUGACGGAACAACGCCGCGUGAGUGAUGAAGGUUUUCGGAUCGUAAAGCUCUGUUGUUAGGGAAGAACAAGUGCCGUUCGAAUAGGGCGGCACCUUGACGGUACCUAACCAGAAAGCCACGGCUAACUACGUGCCAGCAGCCGCGGUAAUACGUAGGUGGCAAGCGUUGUCCGGAAUUAUUGGGCGUAAAGCGCGCGCAGGUGGUUCCUUAAGUCUGAUGUGAAACCCACGGCUCACCGUGGAGGGCAUUGGAAACUGGGGAACUUGAGUGCAAAAAGGAAAUGGAAUUCCAGUGUAGCGGUGAAUGCGUAAAAUUUGGAGGAAACCAG
This 628-nucleotide ribosomal RNA is filed under the name Bacillus sp. TSL04. Its description in RNAcentral is "bacterial SSU rRNA". It matches the Rfam family "Bacterial small subunit ribosomal RNA", at positions 89 to 712 of the family's 1533-position model. Lineage: Bacteria; Bacillati; Bacillota; Bacilli; Caryophanales; Bacillaceae. The record is from RNAcentral.